UGAGCGACCUUGGUGAGUGGUAAGACUGCUGAUUCUUCCUUUCCUUGACCUCCUGAAAGGGCACUAUCCUCCCAAGGAAGCCCCUCAUCUCAGAAGAGACCUCGUGGCUGGAGAUCCCCAUAAAUGCACCAAGUGAAAUAUGUCAAGUAGAUGAUGAUGGCAGUGAUGGUGGGUGAUGGUAAUAAUGAUGGUGAUGAUGAUGCCAAAGAAUUGACUUUGUAAAGGAAUCCUGGAGUCGAUAGUGAGGCUGGAUCCUGCCCGCAGCACUCCCCCUUCCAAGAAAUGCUCAAGCAAAAGAGUCAUUGAUAUCCAGUGGGAAGACAGAAGUCAAGAUGAUUGGCGAUGGUCCAGGAUACAGCAAAUAACCUUGGUGUCUAGUGGAUACCGUCAGACAUCUUUAGAAGCUUCCUAAAUCUGUGUCUGUCCUGGGUUUGUUCUUGGUACAUCGCCAGAACCAAAGCAUGUU
Molecule: long non-coding RNA, 466 nt
Filed under: Monodelphis domestica (gray short-tailed opossum)
Lineage: Eukaryota; Metazoa; Chordata; Mammalia; Didelphimorphia; Didelphidae
Description: lncRNA (ENSMODG00000036694.1)
Source: RNAcentral